RNAcentral lists this long non-coding RNA (705 nucleotides) under Homo sapiens (human). The record is from RNAcentral. Lineage: Eukaryota; Metazoa; Chordata; Mammalia; Primates; Hominidae.
UGAUCUCAUCAAUCUAGCGGGAGAGACAGGAUAACCUGUCCGAGAGUAUAGCGCCACUAUGACUCCGCCGGAAAAAUUACUUUAAAAAUCGCCAAAAAUUACUUGGAGCAAAGGGCAGUCGGCGGAGCUUCGCCAAGGCUGGCGCAGUCGGUUUUGACCUGUAGCAGAGAACCAAUUCUGGAGAACAGCCUCACUUCUUUGAUUGAAUACUUACAUAAUGCAUUGGAACAUGACAUGAGAUUAAGUGUAUAAAGCCAAAUGUCCCAUUUAAAGUUUGACAUUUGCAAUAGCAUUCUAUUUAAAAGGUUUAAUAAUGAUAGAAUGAAGACCACAAUAAAAGAGACCUCUACUUAGCUCAGCAAUUCUUACCUUUCUUACCUAUUUGAUGAAGAUGUCUUUUGAAAGGUGUACUGCAAGGAACAAAAUGUUUGUAAAUUCUCCUUUUACCAAGGUGGAUAAUUACUGUACCUUCCUCAUGGAAAAAGUUUUAUUUAAAGUGUUAUUUCUCAUUGAAUACUAUCAAAAAGGAAAAAAAAAUGACCUAAACUUUUGAGAUAGAUUUGGCUCUAGUAAGUAUUUAGUUAUAUCACUUGCAUAUCUGGGAGAAGAAAUAAGAGACUAUCAUCAGUACAUUCCCAUCUACUAAAAAAAUUUAUUUUACACAUGUCAAGGGAUUACUUAUAACUUCCAUUUUAUUACUAAUAG